This is an RNA transcript of Acanthopagrus latus (yellowfin seabream), 3184 nucleotides long. It is a transcript of the gene named dickkopf-related protein 3-like, with no coding region annotated. The record is from RefSeq and is a predicted model, not a curated record. NCBI's taxonomy places the organism in Eukaryota, Metazoa, Chordata, Actinopteri, Spariformes, Sparidae. The transcript is spliced from 3 exons.
UUAACAUAUAUUAACGCCCCCCCCCUUCAUAGAAUGGUAUGUUCCACCUGUGGUUUCUGCUUGAAAAGUUUGGUUUUCAGCUAGCUAGCUUAAUUAAGGUAUAAAUACAGACUUUACUGAAGCUACAGACGUUGUAGUCUGCGUCCAUCGAACUACAUUUACGAUGAUGUAUUCUUCAGUCCCGGUGUUGGUGAAUCAAAAAGGAUCAGGUCAGCCCCCUACAAGGAGUGACGGGGUGAAUGUAAGAAGAUGUGAGUUUCCACUUGGGGGAGCUGUUUACACGUUACACACCGCGCUUUGACGACGAUGGUCUGCGUCUUCGUAAGAAUCUCCGGUCUUGAUGGCAUUAUUAAUGCAUGCCACAGUUCAAGGUGACAGAGAGCAAUGGUUCUGGGGUUUAGUGUGGUGCUCAGAAAGUAGAGCAGUUAAAUGCAGCGCUCUCACUGCCUCUCUGGCUGCUCCAUAUACAGCAAGUGACCCACUUUUUUUCUCCCAUCUUCACUGCCUGACACCAGGCUGUGUUUAGUAAAGGAGGGUGUGGGAUUUCUAGGUGAGGAACAGGAAACAAUCAUCCUUCUCCCUCACAGCUGACUGAUUUACAGAGCAGAUUCCCAUUGGGCGGGAGGAGGUGGAGGGAAAUUGGGAUCAGACCUCCCCCAAAAACGGCAACAGCAGCAGUACAACAGGGCUACUUGUGAUCUUGUCCAAGUGAGUCAUUCGCGAGCACACACACACAUGCACACGCGCGCAUAGCCAUGCUUAGACAAACAGUGUAAGUUGGCAGGUCGAGCCUCUCGUCUGUUUUCAAUUUGAAUUGCAGGGAGAGGGGAAAGAAAAAAAAAAAAUUGUACGACACAAUUUAUUUGGGUUGAAUUUUAUUGAGGCUGAUUCGAAUGAAAGACGAGUCCGGGACAUGAAGAAAGACACAAAUAAAACCUCAUCGCACGCACUCAAACAAACACAAACGUGCAGACGUUUAAAAAAAAAAAAAAAAAAAAAGGUAAUGAACGGAAAAUGGCACAGGACACAAGUCCACCUCAAAGUCUAAUAACAAUGACCUCCACUCAGAGCUUCUCCAGCUUGGCAGAGUGGAAAGAUUAUUACCUCGACUGACCUUUCAGCUCAGUAUUAUUACAAUAACACAUCCACCGUAUGGUUAAAGCCUCUGCAAAGCACGCAAAUAGCUUCCUGCCACCUGAUGAUAACCCAACAGUUUCACUUCAUUAAUUCAGCCUGACGCUGUGUUCAUGUUUGCUGGAUCCUUGGUGAGAGGAGGAAUAUUUUGUCUUGUUCAUCCCCAAAUAAUCCGAAGCCAAGUGACGUAUCUGUCAUGUUGGCAUUGUCAUAGAAAAACAAAAGCAGCUUCGGCAGCAGUUGCUAGGAGCAAUAAACAAAGUGUUUUUCACGAAGACCUAAGACAAAUGCCAGUUUUCAUGUCUCUAAAUUAACUCACAACAACCUGCUACAGAAUUCAGAUCUCAUUUGUGGGUGUAUCUUGAUAGCUAGCUGUCUGUAGGAUGAUGACCUCCCAGUUCUUCUCCAUUGCACUGUGUCAUGAGUUCAGGCUAGCCCUAUUAAGGGAUGUGUCAUGCAUUGAGUUCAAGACAAUCCCAAAUGGAUCCAUAGAAAAGCUCAGCGAAGCAGCUGUGGGCUGAUCUUUAACAGAGUUGGCACGGUUAACCACACAGACUGUAUAUUUGCCAAACCAACAGGAUAAUGUUAGCAUCUCUUUAGUAGAACUGAUGAAGUUUAGAUUCCAUCCACUCAGGCCACACUUGUUUCACAAACAUUAUAUUUGCCAAAAACAUCAUCGGUCAAAGAGGAAUUUUUCUCUUGUAGAAGUGAAGCAUAAUGUCUAAAAAUACAAACAAUUAAAGCCUACAUCUAACCACUGACUUGACGUCCAAGUACGUGUUUCCAACAGUAAGCAUCCAAAACGAAAUAACAUUUUCCAUUUUUACGAUAUUACUUGGACUGCGAAUUUAUUUCCAUGUCCUGUACACAAGUAACAGAUCUGAGACCUUCUGUUCCUGUAGCCUCAGUCUGAACAUAGAUGAUCUCAUCUCUAGUUAUAUAAUAGCAUCAUAAAAUUAGAGUUACUGAGAAAAAAUAUCAAAUUAAAUGAGUUACAAUUCAAAAUGUUGAUGAUCCAAAAGGGAUUACGUCUGAAUUUAUUCUUUUCAGUAAAAAGCUUGUGUGUUGAACAUUACGAUCAUUCUUUUUUGGGCAUAUUUGCAGAUCAGCAAAGUAGUUUGGACAGGUUUGAGUGCAGCACCAUCAGGGUAGAUGACUGACAAUGAGCUGUUUAUACACCUGGACUCCAUUCACUGGCAAUAUACUGUAUACUAUAUUAAUGUUGAGGGUUGUUUUCAGUUCGUUCUUGUGUUUGAAUUUGCACCAACUCUCGUCUGUGAGUGAUGGACAUGCAACUAUAUUUUCUUAUAAAAUCAAAGAAGGGCUAUAAAGUUAGAGUACAGUGGUAAUUUAAUCUUAAUCAGUCACAUCAAAUAGGGGAAAUUAAAAUGCACCUCUCCCCCAGCCAUGUUACUUACGUGUGUUUCAGACAGAACGAGCUGGAUUACAUUUGUUUGUAGGACUUCACAACUUUAUUGCCCAGUUUAAAAACGUUUCUGAGAAAAGUUAUCAGAAUAAACUAGUUAUUAAUUUGAUGAAGUGAUUCAAACGUCACAUUUUUAAAAGGGGAAACUAAUAACCUGCAUCCUAUUACGCCAUCCUUCUGCUGUCUGCGUGUUGCUGUUUUCAAAAUUCCCGUCGCUACGUGAAACAAACAGCCUGUCGCUAACAGUAAAAACCAAAACAAGCAUCAGUUCACUUUUUUUUGUCAGGAUUUAGCUAUUCUGAUGCCAGGGCCAACCUCCCCAUGUGUAGAGCGAGUUGCUGCUGACACCAUAUUGCAGGCGGAGGCGCCGUCGCUGCAUUCUGUGUUGUUCUGUGUGAUUGAUUAUGGAAUUUCUCUCCUACUUCACAGAUAAAUCUUUGCUCAUCAGCUACAAAUGACAAGUCUGCUUGUCAAACAGCCAUGUUUUUCAAAAUAUUAGUAAGAAUUUCAAGUGGUAGUUCUGCCAUUGCCAUCAGGAUAUGUGCCGUGCUAGAAGGGAAAGUUGAAAGGCGUAGCAAGAGCAUCUGCAGGAGGCAGGACUUUGUAAAGUGUCUGUUGUUUGGA